UACGGAGGAUCCGAGCGUUAUCCGGAUUUAUUGGGUUUAAAGGGAGCGUAGGUGGAUUGUUAAGUCAGUUGUGAAAGUUUGCGGCUCAACCGUAAAAUUGCAGUUGAAACUGGCAGUCUUGGGUACAGUAGAGGUGGGCGGAAUUCGUGGUGUAGCGGUGAAAUGCUUAGAUAUCACGAAGAACUCCGAUUGCGAAGGCAGCUCACUGGACUGCAACUGACACUGAGGCUCGAAAGUGUGGGUAUCAAACAGG
This 253-nucleotide ribosomal RNA is filed under the name uncultured bacterium. RNAcentral describes it as "partial 16S ribosomal RNA". It matches the Rfam family "Bacterial small subunit ribosomal RNA", at positions 524 to 776 of the family's 1533-position model. The record is from RNAcentral.